UCGGGAAUUUUGGGCAAUGGGCGAAAGCCUGACCCAGCAACGCCGCGUGAAGGAUGAAGUUUUUCGGAAUGUAAACUUCACAAGAUUGGGAAGAAUAAGAAUGGGAUAACACCCCAUUCGAUGACGGUACCAUUUGUAAGCUCCGGCUAACUCCGUGCCAGCAGCCGCGGUAAUACGGGGGGAGCAAGCGUUGUUCGGAUUUACUGGGCGUAAAGGGCGCGUAGGCGGCGUGACAAGUCACUUGUGAAAUCUCUGGGCUCAACCCAGCAGCGGUCAAGUGAUACUGUCGUGCUAGAGUGCGGAAGGGGCAACUGGAAUUCUUGGUGUAGCGGUGAAAUGCGUAGAUAUCAAGAGGAACACCUGCGGCGAAGGCGGGUUGCUGGGCCGACACUGACGCCGAGGCGCGAAAGCCAGGGGAGCGAACGGGAUUAGAUACCCCGGUAGUCCUGGCCUUAAACGAUGGAUGCUUGGUGUCCGGGGUUUGAUAGUCUCCGGGUGCCGUCGCUAACGCUUUUAGCAUCCCGCCUGGGGAGUACGGUCGCAAGACUGA
This 550-nucleotide ribosomal RNA is filed under the name uncultured Acidobacteriota bacterium. Its description in RNAcentral is "bacterial SSU rRNA". It matches the Rfam family "Bacterial small subunit ribosomal RNA", at positions 355 to 897 of the family's 1533-position model. The record is from RNAcentral. Lineage: Bacteria; Pseudomonadati; Acidobacteriota.